GAAAUGCGAUAAGUAAUGUGAAUUGCAGAAUUCCGUGAAUCAUCGAAUCUUUGAACGCACAUUGCGCUCCUUGGUAUUCCUUGGAGCAUGCCUGUUUGAGUAUCAUGAAAUCUUCAAAGUAAAUCUUUUGUUAACUCAAUUGGUUUCUACUUUGGUAUUGGAGGUCUUUGCAGCUUCACACCUGCUCCUCUUUGUUCAUUAGCUGGAUCUCAGUGUUAUGCUUGGUUCCACUCGGCGUGAUAAGUUAUCUAUCGCUGAGGACACUGUAAAAGGUGGCCAAGGUAAAUGCAGAUGAACCGCUUCUAAUAGUCCAUUGACUUGGACAAUACUUUUAUGAUCUGAUCUCAAAUCAGGUAGGACUACCCGCUGAACUUAAGC
RNAcentral lists this unclassified non-coding RNA (378 nucleotides) under plant metagenome. RNAcentral's name for it is "partial contains 5.8S ribosomal RNA, internal transcribed spacer 2, and large subunit ribosomal RNA". The stretch from base 1 to 105 matches the Rfam family "5.8S ribosomal RNA", at positions 50 to 154 of the family's 154-position model. The record is from RNAcentral.